RNAcentral lists this ribosomal RNA (460 nucleotides) under uncultured bacterium. RNAcentral's name for it is "partial 16S ribosomal RNA". It matches the Rfam family "Bacterial small subunit ribosomal RNA", at positions 338 to 795 of the family's 1533-position model. The record is from RNAcentral.
CCUACGGGGUGCAGCAGUGAGGAAUAUUGGUCAAUGGACGAGAGUCUGAACCAGCCAAGUAGCGUGAAGGAUGACUGCCCUAUGGGUUGUAAACUUCUUUUAUAAAGGAAUAAAACGAGGCACGUGUGCCUUUUUGCAUGUACUUUAUGAAUAAGGAUCGGCUAACUCCGUGCCAGCAGCCGCGGUAAUACGGAGGAUCCGAGCGUUAUCCGGAUUUAUUGGGUUUAAAGGGAGCGUAGAUGGGUUUUUAAGUCAGUUGUGAAAGUUUGCGGCUCAACCGUAAAAUUGCAAUUGAUACUGGCAGUCGUGAGUACAGUUGAGGUAGGCGGAAUUCGUGGUGUAGCGGUGAAAUGCUUAGAUAUCACGAAGAACCCCGAUUGCGAAGGCAGCUUACUAAACUGUGACUGACAUUGAUGCUCGAAAGUGUGGGUAUCAAACAGGAUUAGAUACCCGUGUAGUC